Molecule: ribosomal RNA, 249 nt
Filed under: uncultured bacterium
Lineage: Bacteria
Description: partial 16S ribosomal RNA
Rfam family: Bacterial small subunit ribosomal RNA
Source: RNAcentral
GACGAACGCUGGCGGCGUGGAUUAGGCAUGCAAGUCGAACGGAUGUUUAGCUUUUUCGAACAUCAGUGGCGAAAGGGUGAGUAACACGUGGGAAACCUGCCCUUAGGUUCGGGAUAACCUGUCGAAAGAUGGGCUAAUACCGGAUAAGUUGCUCUCUUGAAAUAGAGGGCUGGAAAGAUGGGGACCCCUAACGGGGCCUGUCACCUUUGGAUGGGCCCGCGGCCUAUCAGCUAGUUGGUGAGGUAACGG